CUAAAUGACCUCUCAGAUCAUCUCUCACCUCCUCUCUCAUGCCCCAUCUUCUGUCGUCGCCGGAAAUCGCCCACGGCGGCGGCCAACCUCUAAAUAGUCAUUAGACAAUCCCCACCUCCUUCUCAAAACCCUCCAGAAUCUCUCAAUUUGUAGAUCUAGGAAAUCAUAAACCCUAAAUCUACCUCCUCUCUGAUUCUUCCUUAAAUUCUGGUUUAUUUAGAUUUAAUAUCAAUGUCAGUCAUCUUUUCCCGUUGUUAACCAUCAUUUCAUUGUAGUUUCAAUUCAUGUCGAGACUACCGAAAAUCGAUCAAAAUCCCAUUGACCGUCCAGUCCUCUUCCAAAACUAUUAUUUCUGCUCCCAAUCUGGCUCGCCACAAGCAUUGUGACACAUAACAUUGGCCUGUUUGAGAAAUCGAUGGCCAUUUCUUGUGUAACAAUGCCUCUUGCGCGCCGAAAUUUUUGUGUGCUCGCCAGAGUCUAGUUUUAGCUCAUCGGAGUCAGUGUCGCUGCUUUAAUCCAGCUCAAACAGGUGUAAUUCAUUCUUUUCCUUCACUGUGUUCAACCUCGUGAUUCAUUUCUGGUAUCCGACUUAUUUUAAUCAUUUAAGUUUAGAUGUGGAUUCAUGUUCUAGUUGAAUUGUUGUGUUAAAUUGCGUAGUUUCUAGUUUAGCAGGUUUAAUUAAUUGUUGAUUCAUGCUUUUUUUAUUGGCAUAGUCAGUUCUGUCUAGUUUUUGUAUAUUAGCCAUUUGUCAAUUCAGUUUAGUUAGUUGUUGUUUUGUAAAUGUUUGAUCCUGCUAAGUGAAAGAAGGCAAUUGAUUUCAGAAGUUAGUAAUUGUUGAGGUAAAAGAAAAGGUUAAAAGAAGGGUAUUAACAGGAACUUGAGGGGGCUAAAGGAAAUAGAAAUCUUGGGAAUCAUGGGUGUAACUGACUUGUAAUAUUCUAUAAUAGGGCAGUAAAGGUUGGAAAGCAAUAAAACAGUAAACAUUAGGUAAAAAGCGGACUUAAGGGUUAAAACACAUAAAAUAAAAUGGACUGGAAAGAAAGAGAAAUAACAGAACAAGGCAGUUGGCAUUCUGCUAUAAGAGCAGUACAUUCCCUCAUGAUUACUCACGCAUUCACUGAUUAUUCUCACACAUUCACUGGCAAUUCAUUUUCUCACUCUCACUCACUCUCAUACACGCUAAAAACACCUUAGUAGCAGCUGGAAAAUAAAAAAUCCAGAUCUGAACUUCAAAAAAUUUCAAAAACCAAAAGCUGAAAAUAAAAGGAAUCAGAAGCUGAUCCAAAUCUCAGCUCAUUUACUUUACAUUCUCUGGGAGUUUCAAGGUGGUAGAAGUGUUGUCUGUUUGCUAUUGUUUGUUGGAUUUACUAGCUGGGCUUCCUCUCAUUUCUCCUUGCCUUUAUUUGGCCAUUUGCUGAUUGUUUCCUGCUAGUAGGUAUGUAAAGUUCCUCCUGUAACUCUUGUGAAUGUAGAAAUGAAGAGUUGAUGUGUUGAUUCCCUGACUAUGCCUACUUCUAUAUGUUCCUGAUAUUUGAAUGUGAGAUCUGUUCAUCUUUGCUUCUUGAUGAGUAUCUGAUUAUGCUUGUUUAUUUGAGCUGAAUAUCUAAGUUAGAAUUACUCACUAACUAGACUAGUUGCUAUUGAUAAUGUUCUAUUGCAUUUAAGCAUGUUGAUAAUCAACAUAUCGGCAUGUUUAAACAUCUCGUGACAUCAUUAGAUCUGUACCUAACUGUAUCUGUUGUUUUCUCAUGAUAAAAUUUCUGCUGUAGUAUAGAAUAUACAACAUGUUGAGACGUAGUUUGUUCGUCUAGCUAGAAACAGAAUUGGAGUUAGAGAUUUUCUGGUUAAAGAUGAAGCUGAAAGGAACGUCCAUCUAUGUCUCCCUAUUCUGAUUAUUGCGCAUUUGCAUAUAGAAAUCUGAAGAAGGAACAGAGAAAAGAUCAUUUGUAUACUGUUUUAAUUCAUUUAGUUUAGAAUUUGUGAAGCCAUUUUUCAUGAGUCUAAGGAUUGAAUUAGAGAGUUUGUAAUAACUUAGUUCAUUAGUUUUUUUUGUAAUUAAUCAGGGGUUACAAUUGUUACUUAUAUUAUUUUUCUCUAAUUGGUUGAAAUUCUUGUAAUUGAAUUAUUCCUUCCUAUGAUUGUGUAAGUGAUGUUAGAUCUGAUGAAGCUCACACAAAUGAGCAUAUGCUGAAUUACUCCUUUCCUUGACGUUUGGGCUUCACUUGGAACCCAAUUAUGAGAAAACGAC
Molecule: long non-coding RNA, 2248 nt
Filed under: Nicotiana tabacum (common tobacco)
Lineage: Eukaryota; Viridiplantae; Streptophyta; Magnoliopsida; Solanales; Solanaceae
Description: long non-coding RNA (NTAB_LNC000419)
Source: RNAcentral